GCCACGGUGGCACAAUCUGGUAAUGCGCAGGAUUGCUACAUGCCCUGGCAAGAACACGAUUUAAUCGAUAUAUGAUUGCCAGUUCCGCGCAGAGAUCCUGUCCCUUUGGGAUUCCCGGUUCAAAAUCCGGGCCGUGGCG
This 139-nucleotide transfer RNA is filed under the name Candidatus Woesearchaeota archaeon. RNAcentral's name for it is "tRNA-Ile". Lineage: Archaea; Nanobdellati; Candidatus Woesearchaeota. The record is from RNAcentral.